UCGAAGAAAGCGUGAUGGGGUAACUUGACAAAUUCCUGGAGCCCGUGAAAAGGGAGACGGCGUCCGUACCGAGAACCGACACAGGUGCCCCUCGCUGAGAAGGCGAAGGCGUGUCGGAGUGAAUUGUGUUAAGGGAACUCGGCAAAUUAGCCCCGUAACUUCGGGAGAAGGGGUGCCUGCCUGGAGAUCAGGCAGGUCGCAGUGACCAGGGAGCUCUAACUGUCUAAUAACAACAUAGGUGACUGCAACUCGGAAACGACUAGUAUAGUCACUGAUUCCUGCCCAGUGCGAGUAUCUGAAUACCGGGUUCAACCGGACGAAGGACUCGUAAACGGCGGGGGUAACUAUGACACUCUUAAGGUAGCGUAGUACCUUGUCGCUUAAUUGGCGACUUGCAUGAAUGGAUUAAUGAGAGCUCUACUGUCCCUAACACAAGCCCGUUGAACCUUUUGUCCUAGUGCAGAGACUAGGGACUCCUAUUGGGAAGUGAAGACCCCGUGGAGCUUUACUGCAGCCUGUCGCUGAAUUACGGUAUUACAUGCGCAGUGUAGAUGGGAGGCGUUAUAUCCGUUUCUUUCGGGAAACGGGGAGCCAACAAUGAGACACCAUCCUUAUUUUACUGUAGUUCUCACUCCAACGAGGACAACGAUAGGUGGGCAGUUUGGGUGGGGCGCCACACCCUCGAAAAAAUAUCAAGGGUGCCCUAAGGUCAACUCAUGUGAGUCAGAAACUCACAGAAGAGUGUCAAGAGCAAAAGUUGGCCUGACGCGAUUGCGCUUAGCAAGCAAUCGCGAGAGGAAACUCGGGUCUAACGAACCAAUACGCCCUGUUGGUGAGGGCUAUUGACGACAGAAAAGCUACCCCGGGGAUAACAGAGUCGUCGCCGGCAAGAGCACAUAUCGACCCGGCGGCUUGCUACCUCGAUGUCGGUUCUUUCCAUCCUGGCUGUGCAGCAGCAGCCAAGGGUGAGGUUGUUCGCCUAUUAAAGGGGAUCGUGAGCUGGGUUUAGACCGUCGUGAGACAGGUCGGUUACUAUCUAAUAGGAGUGUCAGGAGUCUGAGGGUAAGAAUGGAAUAGUACGAGAGGAACUUCCAUUCGGCGCCACUAGUCGAUCGGUUGUCUGACAAGGCAAUGCCGAGCAGCCACGCGCCAAGGGAUAAAAGCUGAAAGCAUCUAAGCUUGAAACCCGGCCUAAAAAGAGACUCCGUUGAGGACAUGGGUAAAAGACCCGUUUGAUAGGCCUGGGAUGUACGCACGAAGGCAACGACGUGUUCAGUCCGCAGGUACUAACGUCCAAAUCC
Molecule: ribosomal RNA, 1301 nt
Filed under: metagenome
Description: bacterial LSU rRNA
Rfam family: Archaeal large subunit ribosomal RNA
Source: RNAcentral